GUGGGGAAUAUUGCACAAUGGGGGAAACCCUGAUGCAGCAACGCCGCGUGAGUGAUGAAGGUCUUCGGAUUGUAAAACUCUGUCUUUGGGGACGAUAAUGACGGUACCCAAGGAGGAAGCCACGGCUAACUACGUGCCAGCAGCCGCGGUAAUACGUAGGUGGCAAGCGUUGUCCGGAUUUACUGGGCGUAAAGGGAGCGUAGGCGGAUUUUUAAGUGGGAUGUGAAAUACCCGGGCUUAACCUGGGUGCUGCAUUCCAAACUGGAAGUCUAGAGUACAGUAGGGGAAAGUGGAAUUCCUAGUGUAGCGGUGAAAUGCGUAGAGAUUAGGAAGAACACCGGUGGCGAAGGCGACUUUCUGGACUGUAACUGACGCUGAGGCUCGAAAGCGUGGGGAGCAAACAGGAUUAGAAACCCCUGUAGUCC
This 425-nucleotide ribosomal RNA is filed under the name uncultured bacterium. Its description in RNAcentral is "partial 16S ribosomal RNA". It matches the Rfam family "Bacterial small subunit ribosomal RNA", at positions 354 to 796 of the family's 1533-position model. The record is from RNAcentral.